Rattus rattus (black rat) is the source of this 3308-nucleotide long non-coding RNA. RefSeq lists it as uncharacterized. The record is from RefSeq and is a predicted model, not a curated record. Lineage: Eukaryota; Metazoa; Chordata; Mammalia; Rodentia; Muridae. The transcript has 2 exons.
UUUUCACUAGGGACACACACACACACACACACACACACACACACACACACACACACACACUUUACUGACAUGGUGCACAUUCUUUGCACACAAGGAAGAAAGUGAGCAGUAAUGAAAACACACCAAUAAUGGAAUUGAUGGAGGGAGCUGUGGGGAAGCUGGGGCUUAGAGUUACUUAAAGGCCCUAUGCAGGCUCUCCUUUUGUUGGAGGAGAAAUUUCAAGUGCAAUGUGGUUCUUUAUUUUCUUUCUCUAAAGCACAGAGGGCUAGGGUGGAACACAGGGCUUUGAGCAUGUUCGGCAAGUACAGUCACACUGAAUUAAAUCCUAGGGCUGGAACCCUAUUAAUCUUCUACAGAAUUACAGAGCAGCCUGGAUGAAGACUCUCAGCUGAAAAGGUGGACAUCUCAAGACAGGCACUGGACAAUGGCUGACAGACUUGACUGAAGACUGGAAAUGUUUUGCUAUCUCAUAGGAAAAGAAGGCCCCUCCUACCACACUGUACUCUAAGGACAGUUUAUUCAGGUUAGGAUGACAUGAACUAUUGUCUCAUGUCACAGAUGUCAGCACAAAGUAUCCAAGGUAUUGUAUGCCAAUGGUAGCAUUAACAGAACAAAGCACACAGUGUCAUGAAGACAUAAAUCAUGAGUUUGUGUAGCAAGACCCAGGCCUCUUCCAGGUUCUUAGAUAGUAACUGAGAACCUCAAAUAUGGUAGUGAUGUGAUAGUGUGGUGUGAAUCUAGUUACAACUAGUUAUUGUGACACAGAUGACUCUUUUUGUGUCAUGGUCAGCUUAUAAUGAAUGACUAGACCUAAGCAUGAGAAUAACCAAAUACUACAUUGCUUCUCUAGCUGCUGAGCUUUUAAAAGCCCUGGGGUGACAGCAAGCUUUUGUGGACAUUCUGGAUUGGUCCUUCUGUACUUUAACUCUCUGAGUCACCUCCACUCUCAGUAAGUUAGUUCAAUUCCAUAAAUUGGAAAUCUGUCACCUGGAAAAAAUACAUUCUCAAUACGAUCCCAGAUUGGCCAUGGAAAAAGGGUAGCUUGAACUGUCCCACCUAGGUUCUGGGCUUGCACAGGCCUGCUCUCCAAAAGAAACCUGUGUUCACAGCUGCAGGCUACAUUCACUAUGGAUGCUCUUGAGGUUCCUCCCUAAACUGCUUAGAUUAAAAUAAUUUUCUUGCUAACAAUCAAAAAACUAUUAUGCCAAUCUGGCCUACAGGAAGCUAGUUUCUAUUCUGUAUUUUAUCAGAUGUGCAUAAUACAUAUGGUCAUCAUUGAUAAUAGGUGAAAGUUCUGCUCUAAUAUGGAAACUAAGUGAUGCUGGAGGAUGAUCCUGACCCACAAUGAGCAGUGGGAACACCAGAGCCCUGUAGGGAUGCCUGGCAACCUAACACAUUGAGCACGCACAGCUCAGUAAGUUACCUGUGAACACACAUCUCCUGAGAUCUCUCUAUUUAAUUGGAGGUGAUCCUGUCCACCUAAUACAGCACCUCAUGUGGAAUAACAAAAGCCACCUGCAGGAGCUGUGGUGAUGACUCACAGGUUAGAGCAUCUGCUGCUCUCUCAGAAGAACCACAUGGACCCUAACAAUUGGGUGCUUCCUACACAAGAAGUCACAUGACCACAGAGUGUCAUUUGUCAAAGAACCAAGAACUUGUUCAAAACUCUACAUAGGAUCCAAUCUAUCACAUGGAUAUGCAAUAAUGAGGUAUGUUAUUCAUCUGUCACCAUUUCUAUACUGCAGCUUCAAAAAGAGCAGCAAAAUAUACUUGCAAAAUAAUUCAGUUUCUGAAAAGUGGUUAACUUCCCAGAAUACUUGUGCAUAGGCAGAGCAAUGAACAAUUCCAUUACAUGAGGUGGUUGGCUGGUUGUGAGUGUAAAUUAGAAAGGUGGUAGGAGAAAGCAAAGAUGUAUCAAAUUGGCAAAUUUUAUCAGAUAUUGUUAAGCUAACACAGCUGCUUGUCCCUACCUGAUGAUGCUGGGUCUGGACGUUGCUGGUCUUUAUCUUUCUUGUUGAAGUCAACCAAAUAUUUCUGGUUCAGUGCACAAUCAAGAUGGACCUCCUUGCUCCCCUGCUUCAGUGGGACCAACUUCUUCCUACAUGUGUUCUCCAUCAGGAGCUGGCUGAGCAGGUUUCUGGAAAUACAGUCUGCAUAGUAAGAUCAUGCUGCCCCUUUCUCCCAUUCCUACUCCCAAGUCCCACUAACUCUACCAGGUCCCAGAUACCCAUGAAGACUUAAUAAAAUGCAUCUCGAUACAUAUAAGGCUGCUGCACAAACCACAAAGAGUUAAUUUGGGGAAGAAUAAAUUGUUUGUUUGGCCUGAGCACCAAUUAGUGUCCACAUCUCUCAAAAAGAACAUGGAUCUACAACUAUCCAUGAAAGCCCAAUGCAUGGGGGCAACAUCAAUUAGUAGUGGGCCAACACCCUCAAAGGAGGUCAGUAGAACCAAGAGAAGGUCAUGCUAACCAUGUGGUCCACGCACUGAGUGUUGUAAAACCUGGUAUGACACCAUAGGUCCAGGUCAGCCUAAUAACCUUCUGCUGACUUCAAUCAGUACUGUUCUAUCUAGAGCCUUCUGAAGAUGCCUAGACAAUCCUGGGAUGAGUAACAGUCUUUUAUGGAACUGAAAACUGAGUCCUAAUGACCCUGGCACACUGAUGUGUAAACAGCACAAGAGAUAGAAUCAUAGCUGAAGACCGUCCAAUCCAGAACAAAGAAAGUCAGAAAUGGCCAUUCCACAAGUGAUAGCCUUUCUGACCAGGACUUACCUAGAGAAGGUAAUCUCCUUCUUCAGCUUAUGGUUGCUCUCAUGGAUCUCAGUGUUCUCCAUCUCUAAGUUGUGCAGAAUUGACAUGACCUCCUCCUCCAUUCUCUCCAGGUCUUCAUAAUAUGGAUUUGGCCUGAAGUGUGGCCUGGCCCCAAAUGAUAGAAUACAAUGAACAUCGGCAUUUAGGAAUAUAUGAACUCAGGGUGGGUCCUGUACUACCCCAGUCCUGGAAGGACACCUUCUGAAUUCUACAUAUUGGGAUCUUCUUCAGCUUCAGAAAUGUGUUUUUCUGCGUCCAGGACACCAGAAGCUCGGCAUCCAGAUGGAGGGUUCCCUGGCUCCCUUUGUUCAAUCAGGAGGAAAUCUGCAGUCACGCCAGGUAAGCUAUCAAGAGCCUAGGCCACACCUCUCCAUGCUCCCCCACCCCAACACACCCAGAAACCUGUGAUUUCUUUUUUCCUGUUUUGAUAACAGACCUUAUAUCAACACAAAAUUAUAAUCUGCACAAAGAAUACAAAUAAACAGACAAACGUGGCCA